CAGUAGCCGCGGUAAUACAGAGGGUGCGAGCGUUAAUUGGAUUUACUGGGCGUAAAGCGUGCGUAGGCGGCUUCUUAAGUCGGAUGUGAAAUCCCUGAGCUUAACUUAGGAAUUGCAUUCGAUACUGGGAAGCUAGAGUAUGGGAGAGGAUGGUAGAAUUCCAGGUGUAGCGGUGAAAUGCGUAGAGAUCUGGAGGAAUACCGAUGGCGAAGGCAGCCAUCUGGCCUAAUACUGACGCUGAGGUACGAAAGCAUGGGGAGCAAACAGGAUUAGAUACCCCCGUAGUCCCUGUCUCUUAUAC
Molecule: ribosomal RNA, 301 nt
Filed under: uncultured bacterium
Lineage: Bacteria
Description: partial 16S ribosomal RNA
Rfam family: Bacterial small subunit ribosomal RNA
Source: RNAcentral